GAUGAACGCUGACAGAAUGCUUAACACAUGCAAGUCUUUGGCGAAGCUGUGCUUGCACAGCCUAGCCAAGGCGGACGGGUGAGUAACGCGUAAGGAACUUGCCCUGCAGUCAGGGAUAACAGACGGAAACGACUGAUAAGACCUGGUAAAGUCAGGCGGACUCAUGUCCAGCCUGCUGAAAAGAGAUGCUGCAGGAGAGCCUUGCGUCCUAUUAGCUUGUUGGUGGGGUAACGGCCCACCAAGGCGAUGAUAGGUAGCCGGCCUGAGAGGGUGGACGGCCACAAGGGGACUGAGAUACGGCCCUUACUCCUACGGGAGGCAGCAGUGGGGAAUAUUGGACAAUGGGGGCAACCCUGAUCCAGCAAUUCUGUGUGAACGAUGAAGGUUUUCGGAUUGUAAAGUGCUUUCAGCAGGGAAGAAAAAAAUGACGGUACCUGCAGAAGAAGCGACGGCUAAAUACGUG
This 463-nucleotide ribosomal RNA is filed under the name uncultured bacterium. RNAcentral's name for it is "partial 16S ribosomal RNA". It matches the Rfam family "Bacterial small subunit ribosomal RNA", at positions 28 to 507 of the family's 1533-position model. The record is from RNAcentral.